UAAGCGGAGGAAAAGAAACUAACANGGAUUCCCCUAGCAACUGCGAGUGAAGCGGGAAAAGCUCAAAUUUAAAAUCUGGUGGUCUCUGGCCAUUCGAGUUGUAAUUUAGAGAAGCGUCUUCCGCGCUGGACCGUGCACAAGUCUCCUGGAAUGGAGCGUCAUAGAGGGUGAGAAUCCCGUCUUUGGCACGGACACACCAGGGCUUUUGUGAUGCGCUCUCGAAGAGUCGAGUUGUUUGGGAAUGCAGCUCAAAAUGGGUGGUGAACUCCAUCUAAAGCUAAAUAUUGGCGAGAGACCGAUAGCGAACAAGUACCGUGAGGGAAAGAUGAAAAGCACUUUGGAAAGAGAGUGAAACAGUACGUGAAAUUGUUGAAAGGGAAACGCUUGAAGUCAGUCACGUCGACCGAGACUCAGCCUUGCCUUGGCUUGGUGUACUUCUCGGCUGACGGGUCAGCAUCAAUUUUGCCCCUUGGAUAAUGGCGAGGGAAAUGUGACACCUUUACGGUGUGUUAUAGUCUCUCGUCGCAUGCAAGGGUUGGGAUUGAGGAACUCAGCACGCGCCUUUGGGUGUCGGGGCUUUGCCCACGAUACGUGCUUAGGAUGUUGGCAUAAUGGCUUUAAACGACC
This 627-nucleotide ribosomal RNA is filed under the name uncultured Russulaceae. RNAcentral's name for it is "LSU rRNA". It matches the Rfam family "Eukaryotic large subunit ribosomal RNA", at positions 47 to 649 of the family's 3401-position model. Lineage: Eukaryota; Fungi; Basidiomycota; Agaricomycetes; Russulales; Russulaceae. The record is from RNAcentral.